GACGUAGGUGGCGAACGUUAUCCGGAAUCAUUGGGCGUAAAGGGUGCGUAGGCGGCAUGAUAAGUUAUUGGCGGCAAAUCGAGGCUCAACCUCGUGGAAACUGAUAAUACUGUCUUGCUUGAGUGCAGAAGAGGUUAACGGAACUCCAUGUGGAGCGGUAAAAUGUGUAGAUAUCAUUUGGAACGCCAACGGUGAAACAGCUGGCUGGGGGUGUGCUGACGCUGAGACACGAAAGCCAGGGGAGCGAACGGG
Molecule: ribosomal RNA, 252 nt
Filed under: uncultured bacterium
Lineage: Bacteria
Description: partial 16S ribosomal RNA
Rfam family: Bacterial small subunit ribosomal RNA
Source: RNAcentral